This 492-nucleotide ribosomal RNA is filed under the name uncultured bacterium. RNAcentral's name for it is "partial 16S ribosomal RNA". It matches the Rfam family "Bacterial small subunit ribosomal RNA", at positions 28 to 507 of the family's 1533-position model. The record is from RNAcentral.
GAUGAACGCUAGCUACAGGCUUAACACAUGCAAGUCGAGGGGCAGCGGUAUCGAAAGCUUGCUUUCGGUAGCCGGCGACCGGCGCACGGGUGAGUAACGCGUAUCGAACCUGCCUCAUACUCGGGAAUAGCCUUGCGAAAGUAAGAUUAAUGCCCGGUGUUUUCAGAGUCCCGCAUGAGGCUUUGAACAAAGAUUUAUCGGUAUGAGAUGGCGAUGCGUCCCAUUAGCUUGUUGGCGGGGUAACGGCCCACCAAGGCAUCGAUGGGUAGGGGUUCUGAGAGGAAGGUCCCCCACAUUGGAACUGAGACUCGGUCCAAACUCCUACGGGAGGCAGCAGUGAGGAAUAUUGGUCAAUGGGCGGAAGCCUGAACCAGCCAAGUAGCGUGCAGGAAGACGGCCCUCCGGGUUGUAAACUGCUUUUAGUUGGGAAUAAAACGGGGCUCGUGAGCCCCCUUGCAUGUACCAUCAGAAAAAGGACCGGCUAAUUCCGUG